Molecule: RNA transcript, 4685 nt
Organism: Anarrhichthys ocellatus (wolf-eel)
Lineage: Eukaryota; Metazoa; Chordata; Actinopteri; Perciformes; Anarhichadidae
Gene name: tumor necrosis factor receptor superfamily member 12A
Exons: 4
Source: RefSeq, a predicted model, not a curated record
UAAUCCUAAAGUUAAUUUAACCAGCAGUUUCAGGUUGUUGUCUGACUUAAGCAACAAGCGCUCCACUCCUCAGGUGUGGUUUCUGAUGGAGGUCAACCAACAGUCACGGCUCAGUUCUUCUUGGUGACCUUCUGAACCCUCGUUCGUGAGUCUAGCUGUACAUGCUUGAUGAUGUAGAGCUGAAGUCAUCUGGAGAAAUGCUUACAAGAACUGUGACACAUUUUUGCUGUGACCACAACUAUAAAAUGAGUCAGUCAGCUCUGCAGGCUGUGGAGGAUGUAGAGUCUCUUGGGAUGUGAGCAUGUGGCUGUAACAUAACCACAGAGUUAGAGGUCAAAAUGCCUCAAACAUGAUUUUUUUUUUUCAGAGUCUUUUGGCUGCAGCUGGUUUAAUAAUGACCUGUACAUGAUAGGUAGUUUGUGUUAGGUGACCGAGGUGAAGUUGCCAUUUUAGUUCUUAUUUGUCUGCGGCCUUUGACACAGUCGAUUGCUCUAUUUUAAUGGAUCGGCUAGAAAGGUUGGGAAAAUCCGGUGUUGCACUAAACUGGUUUUCUUCUUAUCCAACUGGAAUUUUUUUGCAUCCAUUGAUGUGCUCCUUUAACUUGUGGGGUGCCUCAUGGGUCGAUUCCUGGCCCCGUUUUAUUUUCUCCGUAUAUGCUCCAUAGGGCACUUGAUCCAGCAAUGUGUUUGUGUGCUUUAUCAUUGCUACGCUGAUGAUGCACAACUCUACUUAUCCAUUAGGCCCGGUGACCUCUCAAAUUGAACUACUCUGCACAAGUAUCUGGCUGAGAUUAGUAAUUGGAUGUCUCAAAAUGUUCUUCAAUUAAAUCACAGUAAAACUGAAGAACUGUUUUUUGCCCCAGACCAGGUCUCUGCAAACAUUCUCAAACACCUAGGGUCAACUAUUACAAUGUCUUUUGCUUUGAGGGUUACUUUACAUCAAGACAGUUAUUCAGUCUUGCUAUUUUCACCUGAGCAAUAUUGCAAAAAUACACCCAAACCUCCUAACAGUUGGAAAUGGUCAUCCAUUCAUUUGUGUCCUCCCACUUAGACUACUGUAAUGCUCUUUAUUCCUGUCUUAAGCAUUAGGACAUUUUCACUACUUUCUAAUAUUUGACAGGCCAAAUUAUUAAUUGAGAAUACAAACCAAACGAUUAAUAGAUAAUGAAAAUUAUCGUUGGUUGCAGGCUUAAUUGUAAAUCCACCAGUCUUAGAAAAUAACUACAUAAAUGUACUGAAGUACUGUGCUUAAGUACAAGUUUGUACUAACUUUACUUGAGAAUUUCUUGUUCGCGAUGUACUCCAACUACACUAUAUAUCAGAGGUUAUUAUUCUACAUUUUACCCCACUUCAUUUUUCUGAAAGCUGCAGUUACUAAUUACUUUUCUGUUUAAGCUAUAAAAAUGGUACUCUACUACUCUCAUUUGAAGAUUUAAUCUACCUCUGAAUGUUACUGCUGCACACAAUGAGACACAACACAUGGAAGUCCAGGGAGGCUUUCUGCACAUCAGGUUCCAUUACCGUAGAUAACAGUAGAACAUAUAUUUGACACCUCACUUGGAUGUCAGUGGUCAGACCAUUACUAUAUAUUUGUUUAUUGCACUUACAGAAUCAGUUGGUUUGUCAGCUGCUUGGCUUGAUGUCACAAUAUGCAUUACCUGGUGGUGUUUGUCAUUGAAGCUGCCACAGUCUCCUACACAUUAAUUUUACUACUUUAGUAUUGUUUCAGUGUUGAGAGAGGAGCCAGUUUGAAUAUGACAGUUACCACAAAUGAGUCAUUUUAGGCUCGGGGUGGUUCCUAAUGGACACUGACAUGGAAGAAAGAUUGUUAUCAUUUUAUCUAUCAAAUAUCUGUAGACUAUUUUCUUGUUACUCUAUCUUGGUCGUAUCUGGUAUUGUUUCAUUCAUCCUAUAGGCUGACUUGUGUUGUAAAAUUGUUUCAUUAGAAGUUGGUUUUCAGUGUGAUGUCUCAAUAUUCAUUACUUAAUGCAUAACCUUGGGGUGUUUAUACACAAGUGCCUCCUAACCAAAGCCAGGAACCUGCAGAGGAAACUACACACUAUUAAAACACUAGAACAGUUUCUACACUCAGCCUGCUAUUGGUGUUAACUGUGUCACAUCUUCAGGCUAAUUCCUUGGUUAUCAUCUGAGAAGUGCACAGCUUUAAUUGUUCAGCUGCCACAAAAAGAGAUGAAUCUUUUCAUUGUGUUCACAGAGGUAGACGCGAAGCAAAAAGCUAAACCACCGUCAACUUCUUUCUCACAGAAGUGUUUGUUUGUUCUCUGGAAGUCGCACACGUACACAGGCGCAAAACAAUUCAAUGGAAGCACUCUGUAAACACAUCCUGCUCUUCACGCACUGCCUGUUCAUGCACCAAAAGUUACUGAGUAAUUCUCCUUCUUGCAAUUAAGUUGCAUCAGCACUCUAACCCAUAGGAAUUUCCCACUUUCGUUUUAUGAGAAGAAGAAAGCCACAAAGUUCUUUCACAAGUCAAACCUUUUACUGUAUUAGCUGAAUCCGCCUCUCCUGCAAGUAACCUGUCUAUGAUUACUUUAGUUUAUUUUAUUCCAAAAUCAAAUAUUUUUUAAACAUUUGCAUGACUCUCAAGUGGUGUCUCUUAAUAUUACCUCCACAUUACAAUAUUUCAAAGUUUAAGCAGUGGUCUAUAUUUAAUAAAUUAUGAAAAAUGUGUUGCCCUGAAAACCAACUAACCAAUGAUCUCUGAUGUUUUUCUGUGUGCAGGUCAGUGUGGAAUUCUAGAGUUUUGGAACUCAGAUUUAGACGUUUGUGUGCCGUGUGCAUCAUGCAAGCAGUACCCAAAGACCCCGUCAUGCAACACAUGUAUAUCUGUGGAUGAGACACCUGACGUGUGGAAACUAGCAGCCAUCACCAGCUUCUCUGUGCUGGCUGUUGUGCUGGUUGGUGCUGCGCUCAUCAUCGGGGUCAUGGUGCAUCGACGCAAGUCACACAAACGGCCUCUGCGUGAACCCAUUGAAGAAACAGCGGGGCCACUUUUCCAGGCUUAAACAUUUCACCUCAACUUAAUCUGGAAACAGAUGUGACAGAACCAAGGAGUGACUGGUUCAGACCUGGACGGAGCAACCUCUAUGCAGAGAGCUAUAUACUCUGACUGCAGGUCAGGGUAUCUCUUCCCCAGAAUAGGAUGAUUUUAAUUUAUUGUGACUGUUGGGUGAAGAGAUGUGCUCAGUUCUCUCACUCAGUGUAGACCCGACAGUGACUACAGGAGCAACUCUUUCACCUCUGUAGUAAUAGUAACAUUAUAUUAGUGGUAUCAUUCUCAGAUAUUGUGUGCCUUUACAUUCCACUUAAAUAAUAUCUACGUCUGGAAGACCUUCGUGGUUUAACUUUUUUUUUGAUUCAGAAAAAAAAGACUACAGUCCUUUCUUCAGAGAGAUGGGUGCUUUCCAAAUCCUGUGUAUUUUCUAGCAGGACUCCAAUGAAUGUAAGACAGCUACUGCUGCCUGCUGGGCUGUGAUCUCCUGCCAUUAAGUGGGGUUAGGCGGGGUCUGUCUGCCAGUCAUUUACCACAACAGCCUGUUAAAGAAAAAUCACAUGUGAGUAAGAUGUACUGUUGGCACAUUAAGGCCAUUUGAAUGUAGCUACUUUUACAGUAGGUGAAAUGUAUUCUAGCCUUCUUCCCUGCCAGUACCUGCUCUUUUAGUUGCCUGGUAUAGUGAAAAAAUCGUUUGAUUAACUGUACUCAUUCACUGUUACUUAUGACAACAAAACAAAGACCCUUUAUUGCAGGUUAUUACAAUAUUGUCUUGUCUGUUGUAAUGUUACUCGAUUUUAGCUGGAUUUUUCCUCUACCACAACCCCAGAAUUCCCUCGUUACUGUCGCAGUGUUGUAGGACGGGACAGAACACUAGACACACAAUCCCAAACUGCUAACAUGUGGGAAUGUUACAAGUAAUGUACUGUAGUGAAGAAAAUGACAACUACAGUGUUUUGGUGGAGCUACACAAUCCCUAUGCGUAUUAACUUUGACCUGUUGAAUCGUCUUAGAUCUCAAGAAAUAUGUGGAGAUAUGAGAUGUCUGUUUAUAAUUUUGUGGCCAUUGAAACCAGUGAGAACUAUGGUGGCCAAGGUUGUUUUCCAUUUAUUUUUUUAGUUCAGGAUGCUUUCUAUCUUGAUCAUCAGUUACUGAUGUUUUCUGUGUGGUUGACAAUGUUUCAGGUCAUAUUUUGGAUCUGUCUACUUGUGGGUAAAAUGCUUGCCCUUUGACAGCAGAAUUAGGGAAUUACUUAACACACAGAUACUUCCUUUUUUCUUUAAGUUUUAAUAUUAUUUAUUUUUAAAUAUCUUGUGUCGUUUUGCAUCAAUUGCGAGUGACAAGCACAAUUUUAAAGGGACUCCAGUGAAGAUUUUUGUUAAACUUCCACCAGGCCAGCUAAUGAUGAUACUGAGCAAUAACUAACAAUUUCCGCAUAUUUCUCUUGCAUUCUAUUUCUAAUUGUAUAUACUGUACAUGCACUGGCUUCUUGUAUGUAAUGCAAUCGUAUCAACUGCUUUGUGUACCAAAUGUAUUUUCACAAUAAAACUGACAACUUCCAAUAAAUGCAAGUCUUGUUGAUAUGCAAACUGCAAAGACGGUUCCAUUUUCUGCUAGGUAACAUUUAUCUGAAUAAUAUGACAUAAGUCAUGGGUUACAGUAUUAAAUGCCAU